GCGCCCGUAGCUCAGUUGGAUAGAGCAUCGGACUUCUAAUCCGGCGGUCGGAGGUUCGAAUCCUCCCGGGCGCGC
This 75-nucleotide transfer RNA is filed under the name Alienimonas californiensis. RNAcentral's name for it is "Planctomycetes bacterium CA12 tRNA-Arg". It matches the Rfam family "tRNA". Rfam says of the family: Transfer RNA (tRNA) molecules are approximately 80 nucleotides in length. The record is from RNAcentral. Lineage: Bacteria; Pseudomonadati; Planctomycetota; Planctomycetia; Planctomycetales; Planctomycetaceae. RNAcentral also lists the same sequence under 1 other name.